Molecule: ribosomal RNA, 253 nt
Filed under: uncultured bacterium
Lineage: Bacteria
Description: partial 16S ribosomal RNA
Rfam family: Bacterial small subunit ribosomal RNA
Source: RNAcentral
UACGAAGGUCCCAAGCGUUAUCCGGAUUUAUUGGGUUUAAAGGGUGCGUAGGCGGGCUAUUAAGUCAGUGGUGAAAGCCCCAAGCUUAACUUGGGAAUUGCCAUUGAUACUGAUGACCUUGAGUACAUUUGAAGUGGGCGGAAUGUGUCAUGUAGCGGUGAAAUGCUUAGAGAUUACAUGGAAUACCAAUUGCGAAGGCAGGUUACUACUAAUGGAUUGACGCUGAUGGACGAAAGCGUGGGUAGCGAACAGG